GACGAACGCUGGCGGCGUGCCUAAUACAUGCAAGUCGAACGAGAGCGACCGGUGCUUGCACUUGUCAAUCUAGUGGCGAACGUGUGAGUAACACAUGUGUAACCGGCCCAGCAGAGGCGGAUAACAUCCGGUAACGGAAGCUAAAACCGCAUAGGUCUUCGAACCGCAUGGUUUGAAGAGGAAAAGAGCCUCAAACUUCUGCUGAUGUAUGGACCAGCGGUGCAUUAGCUAUUUGGUGAGGUAACGGCUCGCCAAGGCCGUGCUGCAUAGCGGACCUGAGAGGGUGAUAGGCGACAGUGGGACUGAGACACGGGCCAAACUCCUACGGGAGGAAGGAGCAGGGAAUCUUGCGCAAUGGACGCAAGUAUGACGGAGCAACGCCGCGUGAGUGAAGAAGGUUUUCGGAUCGUAAAACUCUGUUGUUAGAGAAGAACAAGUGCUAGAGUAACUGUUAGAGCAUUGACGGUAUCUAACCAGAAAGCCACGGCUAACUCCGUG
This 498-nucleotide ribosomal RNA is filed under the name uncultured bacterium. RNAcentral describes it as "partial 16S ribosomal RNA". It matches the Rfam family "Bacterial small subunit ribosomal RNA", at positions 28 to 507 of the family's 1533-position model. The record is from RNAcentral.